This 29-nucleotide small RNA is filed under the name Bombyx mori (domestic silkworm). Its description in RNAcentral is "ovarian small RNA-5758". Lineage: Eukaryota; Metazoa; Arthropoda; Insecta; Lepidoptera; Bombycidae. The record is from RNAcentral.
UAAGCAAGUACCGUAACAUCCUUCAAAGC